CCUACAGGAGGCAGCAGUGGGGAAUAUUGCGCAAUGGGCGAAAGCCUGACGCAGCGACGCCGCGUGAGGGAUGAAGGUCUUCGGAUCGUAAACCUCCGUCAGCAGGGAAGAACGGUCACUGUGCUAAUCAGCAGUGAAUUGACGGUACCUGCAAAGGAAGCACCGGCCAACUCCGUGCCAGCAGCCGCGGCAAUACGGAGGGUGCGAGCGUUAAUCGGAAUUACGGGGCGUAAAGCGCUCGUAGGCGGUAUGUCAAGUCAAGGGUGAAAUCCCCACGCUCAACGUGGGAACUGCCUUUGAAACUGGCAGACUGGAGUGUGUGAGAGGAUGGUGGAAUGCCAGGUGUAGGAGUGAAAUGCGUAGAGAUCUGGAGGAACAUCAGUGGCGAAGGCGACUAUCUGGCACAUAACUGACGCUGAGGAGCGAAAGCGUGGGUAGCAAACAGGAUUAGAUACCCCUGUAGUC
This 465-nucleotide ribosomal RNA is filed under the name uncultured bacterium. Its description in RNAcentral is "partial 16S ribosomal RNA". It matches the Rfam family "Bacterial small subunit ribosomal RNA", at positions 338 to 795 of the family's 1533-position model. The record is from RNAcentral.